This 605-nucleotide unclassified non-coding RNA is filed under the name Hevea brasiliensis (rubber tree). Lineage: Eukaryota; Viridiplantae; Streptophyta; Magnoliopsida; Malpighiales; Euphorbiaceae. The record is from RNAcentral.
AUUUUUCAGGUACUGUGGAUGCAGCAUCAGAUUUAGUACAAGGUUUCCAUCCUUGGUGUUCCAAAGGUGUCCAAAGCCGUGACUGUUCUUCAUUGGAAGUUUGGCGUUGUAUAGCACUCUUCGCAAGACGUGAGUGCCUGAAUUUUGGAGCAUUCAAAUCAGAAAGAAUGGUGGGUGAGCCAUAGCUAAAAGUAGUAAAGUAAACAGUCAAAAGAACCACAAUAAGACCAGCCAUAGCACCCCCUCCUCUAUGAUUUCCACUCAUGCUGCUUUCUCUUCUUCUUCUUCUUGCUGCAGUGUAUUUUUGGUAUUUGGCUCACCCCCCUAAUGAAAAUAUAAAGCAAAAUAAAGAAAAGGGUGUGCCUAAAAACUCUCAAAAACUUGAAAGUAAGGAAUACAAGAAAGAAAAAAAGCAAUCUUUUUUCAAGGAAGAAAGAGAGAAAGAAAUCAAGAAUCAGUAGGAAGAGUAAAGAGGGGCCAAUAUCAUUAUGAGCCUCAGUAAAAGCAUCUCACAUGGGGGCACCUAUCUCUCCCCUUCCAUAUAAUAUCAACACAUAUACCAAAAAUCAAUGCAUAUAAUAAAACCAAACAAGCAAACAGCAAGC